Molecule: ribosomal RNA, 852 nt
Filed under: Staphylococcus gallinarum
Lineage: Bacteria; Bacillati; Bacillota; Bacilli; Caryophanales; Staphylococcaceae
Description: bacterial SSU rRNA
Rfam family: Bacterial small subunit ribosomal RNA
Source: RNAcentral
AGCGAACAGAUAGGAGCUUGCUCCUUUGACGUUGCGGCGGACGGGUGAGUAACACGUGGGUAACCUACCUAUAAGACUGGAAUAACUCCGGGAAACCGGGGCUAAUGCCGGAUAACAUAUAGAACCGCAUGGUUCUAUAGUGAAAGAUGGUUUUGCUAUCACUUAUAGAUGGACCCGCGCCGUAUUAGCUAGUUGGUAAGGUAAUGGCUUACCAAGGCGACGAUACGUAGCCGACCUGAGAGGGUGAUCGGCCACACUGGAACUGAGACACGGUCCAGACUCCUACGGGAGGCAGCAGUAGGGAAUCUUCCGCAAUGGGCGAAAGCCUGACGGAGCAACGCCGCGUGAGUGAUGAAGGGUUUCGGCUCGUAAAACUCUGUUAUUAGGGAAGAACAUAUGUGUAAGUAACUGUGCACAUCUUGACGGUACCUAAUCAGAAAGCCACGGCUAACUACGUGCCAGCAGCCGCGGUAAUACGUAGGUGGCAAGCGUUAUCCGGAAUUAUUGGGCGUAAAGCGCGCGUAGGCGGUUUCUUAAGUCUGAUGUGAAAGCCCACGGCUCAACCGUGGAGGGUCAUUGGAAACUGGGAAACUUGAGUGCAGAAGAGGAAAGUGGAAUUCCAUGUGUAGCGGUGAAAUGCGCAGAGAUAUGGAGGAACACCAGUGGCGAAGCGACUUUUCUGGUCUGUAACUGACGCUGAUGUGCGAAAGCGUGGGGAUCAAACAGGAUUAGAUACCCUGGUAGUCCACGCCGUAACGAUGAGUGCUAAGUGUUAGGGGUUUCCGCCCCUUAGUGCUGCAGCUAACGCAUUAAGCACUCCGCCUGGGGAGUACGACCGCAAGGUUGAAACUC